GACGAACGCUGGCGGCGUGCUUAACACAUGCAAGUCGAACGCUGAAGCUCAGCUUGCUGGGUGGAUGAGUGGCGAACGGGUGAGUAACACGUGAGUAACCUGCCCUCUUCUUUGGGAUAACGCCCGGAAACGGGUGCUAAUACUGGAUAUUCACUGAUUCUCGCAUGGGGGUUGGUGGAAAGGUUUUUUCUGGUGGGUGAUGGGCUCGCGGCCUAUCAGCUUGUUGGUGGGGUGAUGGCCUACCAAGGCUUUGACGGGUAGCCGGCCUGAGAGGGUGACCGGUCACAUUGGGACUGAGAUACGGCCCAGACUCCUACGGGAGGCAGCAGUGGGGAAUAUUGCACAAUGGGCGAAAGCCUGAUGCAGCGACGCCGCGUGAGGGAUGGAGGCCUGCGGGUUGUAAACCUCUUUCGCUCAUGGUCAAGCCGCAGCUUUGGGUUGUGGUGAGGGUAGUGGGUAAAGAAGCGCCGGCUAACUACGUG
This 482-nucleotide ribosomal RNA is filed under the name uncultured bacterium. RNAcentral's name for it is "partial 16S ribosomal RNA". It matches the Rfam family "Bacterial small subunit ribosomal RNA", at positions 28 to 507 of the family's 1533-position model. The record is from RNAcentral.